GGGCCGUUAGCUCAGCCUGGUAGAGCAGCGGACUUUUAAUCCGUUGGUCACUGGUUCGAAUCCAGUACGGCCUACCA
This 77-nucleotide transfer RNA is filed under the name Burkholderiales bacterium. RNAcentral describes it as "tRNA-Lys". It matches the Rfam family "tRNA". Rfam says of the family: Transfer RNA (tRNA) molecules are approximately 80 nucleotides in length. RNAcentral also lists the same sequence under 3 other names. Lineage: Bacteria; Pseudomonadati; Pseudomonadota; Betaproteobacteria; Burkholderiales. The record is from RNAcentral.